UCCAGAGAAUUUAGCAGAGAUGCUUUAGUGCCUUCGGGAACUCUGAGACAGGUGCUGCAUGGCUGUCGUCAGCUCGUGUUGUGAAAUGUUGGGUUAAGUCCCGCAACGAGCGCAACCCUUAUCCUUUGUUGCCAGCACGUAAUGGUGGGAACUCAAAGGAGACUGCCGGUGAUAAACCGGAGGAAGGUGGGGAUGACGUCAAGUCAUCAUGGCCCUUACGAGUAGGGCUACACACGUGCUACAAUGGCGCAUACAAAGAGAAGCGACCUCGCGAGAGCAAGCGGACCUCAUAAAGUGCGUCGUAGUCCGGAUUGGAGUCUGCAACUCGACUCCAUGAAGUCGGAAUCGCUAGUAAUCGUAAAUCAGAAUGUUACGGUGAAUACGUUCCCGGGCCUUGUACACACCGCCCGUCACACCAUGGGAGUGGGUUGCAAAAGAAGUAGAUAGCUUAACCUUCGGGAGGGCGUUUACCACUUUGUGAUUCAUGACUGGGGUGAAGUCGUAACAAGGUAGGCGUAGUGCU
RNAcentral lists this ribosomal RNA (523 nucleotides) under uncultured bacterium. RNAcentral's name for it is "bacterial SSU rRNA". It matches the Rfam family "Bacterial small subunit ribosomal RNA", at positions 987 to 1509 of the family's 1533-position model. The record is from RNAcentral.